Molecule: non-coding RNA, 329 nt
Organism: Plectropomus leopardus (leopard coralgrouper)
Lineage: Eukaryota; Metazoa; Chordata; Actinopteri; Perciformes; Serranidae
Source: RefSeq, a predicted model, not a curated record
GUGACGGCUGUCGAUCAAUAACAUGGAGGGAUGUGGUCGCCGGUAACUCACCGAAAUACGGUCCGGGAAAUUUACCAGGAAGCACAACUUAGUAAAUAAUGACUCUUCACAUAAGUGCGUCACAGACGGCUGAGGACACACAGACAGCGGUGCAGAGUUUACAGCCACCACUCACCACUCCACUGAACCGGGGCAACACCACGGAGAGGAUGCUGCCAGAGACGCUCUGAUCAGAGUUUCUGAGAUAAUCUGUGGUGGUCCACCUGUCCUGGAGGAUUUCAGUGUCCCACACAAAUGGAGGAAAUCAGACCGCAGACAUAAACACUUUA